RNAcentral lists this ribosomal RNA (253 nucleotides) under uncultured bacterium. RNAcentral's name for it is "partial 16S ribosomal RNA". It matches the Rfam family "Bacterial small subunit ribosomal RNA", at positions 524 to 776 of the family's 1533-position model. The record is from RNAcentral.
UACGUAGGGUGCAGGCGUUAAUCGGAAUUACUGGGCGUAAAGCGUGCGCAGGCGGUCUUUUAAGUCAGAUGUGAAAUCCCCGGGCUUAACCUGGGAACUGCGUUUGAAACUGAAAGGCUUGAGUGUGGCAGAGGGGGGCGGAAUUCCAGGUGUAGCAGUGAAAUGCGUAGAUAUCUGGAGGAACACCGAUGGCGAAGGCAAUCCCCUGGGCCUGCACUGACGCUCAUGCACGAAAGCGUGGGGAGCAAACAGG